Chrysemys picta bellii (western painted turtle) is the source of this 481-nucleotide non-coding RNA. Lineage: Eukaryota; Metazoa; Chordata; Testudines; Emydidae. The record is from RefSeq and is a predicted model, not a curated record.
AGUCCCAACCCCCACUUUGAGAACCCCUGUGCUAGGGUGACCAGAUAUCCUGAUUAUAUAGGGACAGUCCCGAUAUUUGGGGCUUUGUCUAAUAUAGGCACCUAUUAUCCCCACCUGUCCCAAUUUUUCGCACUUCUCAUCUGGUCAGGCCAGCUGCUGCUAGGAAGCUGCUGGAGGCUGCCGGGGCUUUGAGCUGCAGGGAGCCUCAAAGGCUGUUGGUGGCUUCACUGGAGUCCGAGCAGAGACUGUUGCUGUGCUUGGAGCCUGCAGAGGAGGAACGACACGUCCCAUCACUGACCGUGGGGUCACUGGACUGGUGCUGACGGAGCCCAGCUGUAUGUAGCCAAGGACAAGCCACACUCAGGAGUUCCAGGCACUGGGGUUAAACCCAGCGUGAAGAACCUUCUGGGAGCCAUUAAAGAGAAUUAAACGUUUGCCAGUUUACAGCCCAGGAAACAGAUGACGUGGAGUGGCCUGAAGG